GGGCACCAUGCAGUCGAGCGGAUGAAGAGAGCUUGCUCUCCGAUUUAGCGGCGGACGGGUGAGUAAUGCCUAGGAAUCUGCCUGGUAGUGGGGGAUAACGUUCCGAAAGGAACGCUAAUACCGCAUACGUCCUACGGGAGAAAGCAGGGGACCUUCGGGCCUUGCGCUAUCAGAUGAGCCUAGGUCGGAUUAGCUAGUUGGUGAGGUAAUGGCUCACCAAGGCGACGAUCCGUAACUGGUCUGAGAGGAUGAUCAGUCACACUGGAACUGAGACACGGUCCAGACUCCUACGGGAGGCAGCAGUGGGGAAUAUUGGACAAUGGGCGAAAGCCUGAUCCAGCCAUGCCGCGUGUGUGAAGAAGGUCUUCGGAUUGUAAAGCACUUUAAGUUGGGAGGAAGGGCAUUAACCUAAUACGUUAGUGUUUUGACGUUACCAACAGAAUAAGCACCGGCUAACUUCGUGCCAGCAGCCGCGGUAAUACGAAGGGUGCAAGCGUUAAUCGGAAUUACUGGGCGUAAAGCGCGCGUAGGUGGUUCGUUAAGUUGGAUGUGAAAUCCCCGGGCUCAACCUGGGAACUGCAUCCAAAACUGGCGAGCUAGAGUACGGUAGAGGGUAGUGGAAUUUCCUGUGUAGCGGUGAAAUGCGUAGAUAUAGGAAGGAACACCAGUGGCGAAGGCGACUACCUGGACUGAUACUGACACUGAGGUGCGAAAGCGUGGGGAGCAAACAGGAUUAGAUACCCUGGUAGUCCACGCCGUAAACGAUGUCAACUAGCCGUUGGAAUCCUUGAGAUUUUAGUGGCGCAGCUAACGCAUUAAGUUGACCGCCUGGGGAGUACGGCCGCAAGGUUAAAACUCAAAUGAAUUGACGGGGGCCCGCACAAGCGGUGGAGCAUGUGGUUUAAUUCGAAGCAACGCGAGAACCUUACCUGGGCCUUGACAUGCUGAGAACUUUCCAGAGAUGGAUUGGUGCCUUCGGGAACUCAGACACAGUGCU
Molecule: ribosomal RNA, 997 nt
Filed under: uncultured prokaryote
Description: bacterial SSU rRNA
Rfam family: Bacterial small subunit ribosomal RNA
Source: RNAcentral